This 368-nucleotide unclassified non-coding RNA is filed under the name Hevea brasiliensis (rubber tree). The record is from RNAcentral. Lineage: Eukaryota; Viridiplantae; Streptophyta; Magnoliopsida; Malpighiales; Euphorbiaceae.
GGUUAGUUGCUGUCUUCAAUCAGCAUUUCUAAUGAUUUUAAUUAUCUUGGUCUCACUGCUUGCAAAAACCACCUCCUUAUUACUAAAUCACUUGUUCUUCAGAUACCUGAACUAUAUAGAUUCAGCUGUAUUCAAACUAGCUGCAUAUUCUUAAUCAGUGUCCACUUAAUUCAUUUGGGGUUGUUUAUCAUGGAAAACCUUCUUACUGGCUUGCAGCCUGAUUAUCAGUUUUCUGUUGGUUAUUUCACUUCAUAGAAAAGUACUCCUAUUGCUCUAAGAAUCAUUUGGAAGAAUUUAAAAUCUUCAUUUCUUCAAUUCCUUCAUUUUAGAUGCUAUUACUUUAUGCAACUUCAAUGGCUUUGGAUGGA